RNAcentral lists this ribosomal RNA (659 nucleotides) under Boophis rappiodes. RNAcentral's name for it is "partial 16S ribosomal RNA". The stretch from base 1 to 455 matches the Rfam family "Bacterial large subunit ribosomal RNA", at positions 604 to 1301 of the family's 2925-position model. Lineage: Eukaryota; Metazoa; Chordata; Amphibia; Anura; Mantellidae. The record is from RNAcentral.
CCUUUUGCAUCAUGGUCUAGCUAGUCUAACCAAGCAAAACGACUUUAAGUUUGCCCCCCCGAAACUAAGUGAGCUACUUAAGAAUAGCCUUUAGGGCCAACCCAUCUCUGUUGCAAAAGAGUGGGAUAAUUUUUAAGUAGAGGUGACAAACCUACCGAACUUAGAGAUAGCUGGUUUUUUAAGAAAAGAAUUUUAGUUCAGCCCUAAAUUUUUAUACUAAACAAAAAGUCUACUUAAACUUAGGAGUUACUCAAAUAAGGCACAGCUUAUUUGAAACAGGAUACAACCUAUACUACAGGGUAAGAUAGCUGAAUGAUACCAAGUGGGCCUAAAAGCAGCCACCUUUAAAAUAGCGUCAAAGCUUAUUUUUAUAAUUUCGUUAAUCCCGCAAACCCCCUCUAACCCGUAUUUUUUAUUAAAAAACUCCAUAAAACUAUGGAAGCUAUUAUGCUAGAACAAGUAACAAGAAAAAGAAUUUCUCCAAAAAUGUAAGCUUAAGCCGUAAUAGACAUUCUACCGGCAAUUAACGUUUGUGAACAACUUAUAGUAACAUAACAAGAAAACCCUAUAUUUUUUAACGUCAACCUUACACUAGAGCAUUUAUGGAAAGAUAAAAAAAAGAGGAAGGAACUCGGCAAAUAUAAAUCCCGCCUGUUUAC